GGAUAUGAAAGUAGAGAUGGCUGUUUCUGUAUCUGCGUGAAGAUAUUGUACCAGUAUUCAGUUCUCACAAUAAUGGGAGUGUCUUACUGGAUGUGCUACUCUACCAAUAUAUGUGAAGAAUUAAAAGCCUCAACCAAACAGCCCUGCAGCUUGGAUUGAACUGAAAGUAAAUACUCUGAACCUGGCUAUUAACUCAUUUUCUUCUGUUGUAAGGUCAGUGAAACACUGCUUAGUUUUUUUGUUUGUUUUGUUGGGGUUUUUUUUGUAUUAGAGAUAGAAGUAUAAAGUCAAGUGUGCAGAUGAGGGAGAGGAAAGCUCACAGUAAAAGUUAAAAUUUAGAAUUUAAAGGAUAAACUGCUUUAUGUAUUUGUUAUCUUCAGGGCCAGCUCUUUAGCAGGUAAAGGACAAUAGAAUUGCUUUUGCAUACUGUAGGAAUCGAGUUAGUAACUACUUACUGCUUAGGAUGUUCA
RNAcentral lists this long non-coding RNA (470 nucleotides) under Melopsittacus undulatus (budgerigar). RNAcentral's name for it is "lncRNA (ENSMUNG00000008249.2)". The record is from RNAcentral. Lineage: Eukaryota; Metazoa; Chordata; Aves; Psittaciformes; Psittaculidae.